Molecule: ribosomal RNA, 253 nt
Filed under: uncultured bacterium
Lineage: Bacteria
Description: partial 16S ribosomal RNA
Rfam family: Bacterial small subunit ribosomal RNA
Source: RNAcentral
UACGGAGGGUCCAAGCGUUAUCCGGAUUUAUUGGGUUUAAAGGGUGCGUAGGCGGCCUAUUAAGUCAGGGGUGAAAGACGGUAGCUUAACUAUCGCAGUGCCUUUGAUACUGAUGGGCUUGAAUGUACUUGAGGUAGGCGGAAUGUGACAAGUAGCGGUGAAAUGCAUAGAUAUGUCACAGAACACCAAUUGCGAAGGCAGCUUACUAAAGUAUGAUUGACGCUGAGGCACGAAAGCGUGGGGAUCAAACAGG